This 375-nucleotide ribosomal RNA is filed under the name uncultured bacterium. RNAcentral's name for it is "bacterial SSU rRNA". It matches the Rfam family "Bacterial small subunit ribosomal RNA", at positions 521 to 896 of the family's 1533-position model. The record is from RNAcentral.
UAAUACGAAGGGGGCUAGCGUUGCUCGGAAUUACUGGGCGUAAAGCGUACGUAGGCGGAUCCUUAAGUCGGUGGUGAAAUCCUGAAGCUCAACUUCAGAACUGCCUUCGAUACUGGGGACCUUGAGUUCGGGAGAGGUGAGUGGAACUGCGAGUGUAGAGGUGAAAUUCGUAGAUAUUCGCAAGAACACCAGUGGCGAAGGCGGCUCACUGGCCCGAUACUGACGCUGAGGUACGAAAGCGUGGGGAGCAAACAGGAUUAGAUACCCUGGUAGUCCACGCCGUAAACGAUGGAUGCUAGCCGUUGUCGGGUUUACUCGUCAGUGGCGCAGCUAACGCAUUAAGCAUCCCGCCUGGGGAGUACGGUCGCAAGAUUA